This 73-nucleotide transfer RNA is filed under the name Aeromonas veronii. RNAcentral describes it as "tRNA-Asn". It matches the Rfam family "tRNA". Rfam says of the family: Transfer RNA (tRNA) molecules are approximately 80 nucleotides in length. Lineage: Bacteria; Pseudomonadati; Pseudomonadota; Gammaproteobacteria; Aeromonadales; Aeromonadaceae. The record is from RNAcentral.
UCCCUCGUAGUUCAGUCGGUAGAACGGCGGACUGUUAAUCCGUAUGUCACAGGUUCAAGUCCUGUCUUUGGAU